AAGAGUUUAGUUUUAAAAUAGAACCAAAGUGUAUUUACUCUGAGACAAUGAACAAAAACAAUGAAAAAUGUAGUAUUUUAGACAAAAUCUUAAAACAUCGCAACUUUCUAGUGGGAGUAGAGGCCAUUAAAGACUCAAAGAUGAAAUCAAAUCAUCGAGAACCUACAAAAGGUUCAUUUUUAGAACUGAAUUACUUACACACACUUCACCCAAAUUGAUCACAAACCAUUCUGCUAAAAGAGCAAAGCAAGUAGCCACUAUGAUGGAUAGCUAAAAAUACAUAGUUAGCUUUUGAGCGGGCUAAUCAAGCAAAAAGAACAAAAGAAAAAUAAGGAAAACAAGGCAAUGAGACUUAUAAAUUCACACCCAAAUGAGGGAAACAAACGAUACAUGCUGUAAGAAUUUACGAAUGCUCCCUUAUAUAUGACAAAACGAGUUAAGAAAACCUUUAAAAUAGCUUAGCUACUCUAGCUUGCAGAGCAUCUUCUAAAAUAUCAUAUUUCGCUAUUUACCUUAUACAUUGAAUUGUCACUUAUUUACAUCACCCAAAAAGAUGAAUAUUGCACUGUGAGAUAUCACCUCUUAAAGUUGAGCUCCCACAUUGUUUAUCAAAUUGAUUGAGUACAUAUUGACUAAAUUGAUUGAGAAUUUCACUUUAUGAGAACAUAUUUGUUGGUUCUCUGAAAGCACAUUUGUGAACAUGCAUGUACGAUAAAGACCUUAGAAAUGCAUUCAAAGCGCCAUGAGGAAAAUUGAGCUCUCUCAAGUGUUUAUGGAAUGGGUAGAGAACUCUUCCCCGUUAUUAGCUAUUCUUUAUUUGAUAGAUAAGUGCAAAUGUGAUGAGAUAGAUGCAAGUCUCCAUGAGUGUACAGAAGACUUGCAUACAAUUUGGCUCAACUACCUUAGAAAGACAACUCAAAAAGUUUUCAAAACUUGAAAAACCAUAAACACUACUAACAAAAUAGCCAAACACUACUACUUACACAAACAAUUUAUUCUAAAUUGAAUUUUAGCCAAAAGUCCUUAGUUAGCCUGCAAAGUUCAGAUAUUAAAUAAACAAAAAACAACAUAACCAAAUAAACACCAAAUAAAGCCUUAUGCAAAGGAUCGUUCAAAAAACUUAAAAGUAAGGCAAUAUGAAAGUUUUGGAUACUAUCAGAAAGCAUUAAUAUCGACAUAAAUAGUAAAGAAAUAAAGUUAAGCAGAGGGUCAAUUCCUUCAUCAGCGUGGCAAGUUGACUUUUAGAGAGUGGGAGGAUCAGCUCCCCAGUUGGAUUAGGAACGUUAUAAGAACUUCUAUGAGUGCCUUUAUUAUUAUUAUUAUUAUUAUUAUUAUUAUUAUUAUUAUUAUUAUUAUUAUUAUUAUUUUGUCUUCUUCUCUGAUUAAGGAGCUUCAAAGCUAAGGUUUGCCUUCCAAAUCUCAAUCAUGACAUAAUUCAUAGCUGUCUGAACUUAUUGAUCACUGUGCUUCUAAGCCUCUUGAGAAAUCCUCAUCUCUAAGCUAAGUAUAACUCCUUUUUUGUCGUCAACUUCUCCCUUUGGGAUUCCAUCUUAGAGGCUAUCUUCUCUAAAAGCUUCUCUAGAUGAUAACACUUCUUUCUAGUUGAGCUACUUACUCCCUAUAUUUAGUGUGGGUUGAGAGAGCAACAGAGGACUUCCUGGCCAAGUCAUAAUUCUUGGUCAACAUAAAGUAAAAGGUAGCUGAAAAAAAAAAGAGGUUAACUCUCUAUAUUAAGAGAAAGAGGGUUAUGCUUAACAAAACCAAACCAUUGAAGAAAACUUAGAUCUUGACAGUAUAUAAUGGUUGAGGUGAUGCCAUCUAGCAAAGUCUAUUUGUUCAUCACGAUGACAGAGUUAGAAAUAAUAUGAUCACAUGUAAACUGAAAAAAAACCUUUAAAUAUGAGAAAACCUACUGCUUGAAGCAAGAUUUAGAUCUAUGGUUUCUUAGGUGCUCGUGUAGGAGAAGGUUUCAGGAUAUUUUUUUUUCUUUUUAGAGGGUGAUGAAGGAGUCUCAGAAGAUCCCUUAAAGUUGUUCACUAGAGAACAUUAGGAUUUAUCAUCCUGUUUAAGGGUGAGAUGAUAGCCCCUUUGCUAAGAGAAAUGAUAGCUGGUUUGUUCUCAGCUGAGUUAGACAUAAGAUUAGCAAAAACAUACUUGUCCAUAGCCUUUUGCUUACUUUCACUAGAGCUAAAAGGAGGUUCCUUGACUACAAAGUAUGGAGACAACUAUUAACAAUCAAGUAAAAAGAAAGAGAGAGAUAGAGUAAGAGUGAAAAGAUAAAAUAAAUAGAAGAUUGAGAAGGAUAGUUAAAGCAUCCAUAAAAGAUUUAGCGUGCUUAUCAGACAAAUGACGAUCCUUAAUAAGUCUAGAAUUAAGUAGCCUCUCCUCACUCAGUACAUCUUUUUUUUUUUUCAAGAUCAACAAGUCUUGCUUUGCGUGACUACAAAAUCUUGCAUAUCCUCCAUUGGAUUGUCUCUUUUACUCUAUAUAACAAUGAUAAGGGCAUAAGGGUAGCGCAAAUCAGUUUUUAAGUUCAGAAGAUAACUAAAGCAACAAGGAAAGGGCUGAGUUAGGACACCUACUUCUAGAGUUAAAACCAGACCUGACAGGACUCACUUUGCCUUUAUGCUCUAUAACAGAGCCCUAACCAUCUUCUGUUAUGAACCACUCAUACCUGAAACAUUUCUUCAAAGUAAGAAUAAGAGGAACUAGAUUGUUAUCCACUGCCUAGGGAGAGAGAUAUACUGAGUUAGAAGAAUGCAUUCUUGAGUUGAUAGAGUCCCUUAGUGUUAUCUAAGGCAAACUCUUGCUCAAAUAGCUCCCUUCAAUACACAAAACACUCUAUAAUAUUCCUCCAAGUAGAAAAGAUAAAUUGUAUCAGAGCAGCAUUAAAGUAAACAAGUAGCUUCAUAAUAAAUGGCUGAAGAGAUAAUUUUAGGCCAAAAUGAAAUUGGUUAGUAUAAAAGAAGAGUCUAGAGGCCUUUCGUGUACCUUGAGCCUAACCAAAGAGGGAAUAUAAUACUUUCUUACAACAAAGUCUAAAUCUUUUUAGCUACGCUCGAAAGAAAGUAUCUGAUGAUGGGGAGUUUUCAAUUGAGUCAAGAGAGAAACUUAAGUUUCAAAAAAUGGCAAGACCGUUUCCUUUGAAGUUACGACCAUCCCUGGGAGGUUUACACUUCUUUUUAGGUUUCUUAGAAGGUAAACUCUUUUGUGAGUCAGGAGCCAUGGCAUUCUCUUUUUUUUCUCGAGAGUCAUCAUUUGAAUUACUUCUGGAUUCUGUUUAUUUCUCUUUCUCCCUCACAGACUUCUGGGAUUUACCUUCAUCAUUAUCAUCACUCAGUGCGGGGAGAUAAUUAUGCCUAGGGGCAAAUUAAAAAUCGAGAAUAUUCACUAUUGUCCCCAUCUGUCUCAUCAAUAUCCUCCAAAGACAAGAUAAUUGAUCUUUCUCUUCAUAACUAUCACAAGCCAACCGAGUUGCACUCUCGACACAACGCCCAACAUAAACAAAAAAAUGAAAGCAACAGAACAUAGUUUUCGUAAACUAAAAACCAACAAGGCCAAUAAAAAAGAUGAGGGAAAAAAGAGAAAAGUAUCUUAUUUGACUAAGAUUUUAGCAAAUUUAAAGAAUGGGGGAAAAAAGUGAUGAAUCAAGCAAUAAAUUGCCUAUUAAAAAAGUUGUGAUAAUGUAAAAGAAAGAAAAGGGAAAAAAAUAAGAGAAAGGGAGGGUUAAACCUCAGUAUGAAGCACCAAUAAGAGAAGUUGUAAUGCCAAGAUGACGAAUGAUGAACCCUUACACCAUAAUAAGUUUCGUCAUAACGUGCAGUUGUGAAACAAAGUAAACCCUAUAACAAGAAAAGAAUAAGAGGAAGAACAACUCGCUGGAGAGUAGCUUUAAAGAAACCAAAACAAGUCAAAGGCCAAAUAUUAAGAAACAAAGGCUUCAAGCUUGAGGGAAGACAGAGCAAAGCUGGAAAUAAGAUAAAGAAAAGAAAAAAAAAAUCAAUUUUGUGUAAGGAAAAUCGUACAACAAGAGGGAUAACCAUGUGUAAGGGUGAGUUCAUCCUUUGCUCAAAUGGGUUUCAAUCUAACGAUAAUGAGUAGUCAAAAAGGGUUAGGAGAUAAUGAAGUAGUAGGAAAAAAUUUAAGCCAUUGAUAGAAUCCAAGGGCCAAAGAUUAUCCGCUUGUCAGCAACUAAAGUAAGGACAGCUAGAGGCAGCAAUAUAUGCAGUUGAGGAAAACAAUGAGGAUAUGCCACGUGGGUUAUUCAUCAGGCAUUAAAAACCCACUAACUCACUUCCUGAUUUAAAUGAAAG
This 4313-nucleotide long non-coding RNA is filed under the name Citrus maxima (pomelo). Its description in RNAcentral is "long non-coding RNA (CMAX_LNC002324)". The record is from RNAcentral. Lineage: Eukaryota; Viridiplantae; Streptophyta; Magnoliopsida; Sapindales; Rutaceae.